RNAcentral lists this transfer RNA (72 nucleotides) under Diaphorina citri (Asian citrus psyllid). It matches the Rfam family "tRNA". Rfam says of the family: Transfer RNA (tRNA) molecules are approximately 80 nucleotides in length. Their secondary structure includes four short double-helical elements and three loops (D, anti-codon, and T loops). Lineage: Eukaryota; Metazoa; Arthropoda; Insecta; Hemiptera; Psyllidae. The record is from Rfam by way of RNAcentral.
GCUCCCAUGGCGUAGUGGCUACUGCACUCGAUUUGCACGCGGGAGACCCGGAUUCGAUUCCCGGUGGGGUCA